Molecule: non-coding RNA, 67 nt
Filed under: Lactimicrobium massiliense
Lineage: Bacteria; Bacillati; Bacillota; Erysipelotrichia; Erysipelotrichales; Erysipelotrichaceae
Description: Fluoride riboswitch
Rfam family: Fluoride riboswitch aptamer (crcB RNA motif) (bases 6-63)
Source: RNAcentral
CAUACGGGAAUGAAGUUCUCCCUUGAUGCAAAUCAAAACCGCCAUACAGGCUGAUGACUUCUGUGAU